CGCCUCGUCAUCGGGGAGUAGUCGCCCACGCCAAGGUGGGGCGCGCGUCAACACACUUUCCCUCGCCCGGAGGGAAUGGCGCGUGCGGGGCUCCGUCAGACCUCAGGGUCGCGGAGCU
This 118-nucleotide small RNA is filed under the name Umezakia ovalisporum. Its description in RNAcentral is "Chrysosporum ovalisporum Manganese sequence". It matches the Rfam family "Manganese Mn2+ riboswitch aptamer (yybP-ykoY)". Rfam says of the family: This RNA was originally discovered in E. coli during a large scale screen and was named SraF. Lineage: Bacteria; Bacillati; Cyanobacteriota; Cyanophyceae; Nostocales; Nodulariaceae. The record is from RNAcentral.